Molecule: ribosomal RNA, 487 nt
Filed under: uncultured bacterium
Lineage: Bacteria
Description: bacterial SSU rRNA
Rfam family: Bacterial small subunit ribosomal RNA
Source: RNAcentral
UCCUGGCUUAGAACGAACGCUGGUGGCGUGUCUUAUACAUGCAAGUCGAGCGGUGCAGCAAUGCAUAGCGGCGAACGGGUGAGUAACGCGUAAGCAAUCUGCCCCCUGUUCGGGAAUAGCCGUGCCAACGCGCGGGUAAUACCGGAUAUCGUGGCUUCCCCCAUGGGAAGUUGACAAAAGAUUUAUCGACAGGGGAUGAGCUUGCGUCCGAUUAGCUAGUUGGCGGGCAACGGCCCACCAAGGCGACGAUCGGUAGCCGGCCUGAGAGGGUGAUCGGCCACAUUGGGACUGAGAUACGGCCCAGACUCCUACGGGAGGCAGCAGUAGGGAAUAUUGCACAAUGGGGGAAACCCUGAUGCAGCAACGCCACGUGUGGGAAGAAGCAUUUCGGUGUGUAAACCACUGUCGUGAGGGAAUAAGGCUUGCCUCCGGGCAAGUUGAAUGUACCUCGAGAGGAAGCACCGGCAAACUUCGUGCCAGCCGCCGC